CCUCGCGGACAGCGCGGCUGUGCGGGCGGAGAGCUGUCGAUCCCAGUGAUUAAUGCCAAAUCCCUGUUGCCAGUGGAGAGGGUGAUGUUUGACUUUCUUAAACAGCUGCAGUUUGUGUGGUGAAGGUGCUCCCACAAUGUGGUUGGAUCCCAGUGAUUAAUGCCAAAGCCCCAUUGCCUGUGGAGAGGGUGAUGUUUGACUUCCUUGUACAGCUGCAGUUUGUGUGGUGAAGGUGCUCCCACAAUGUGGUUGGGUGGACAUUCAGAUGGUAACCUUAGUCAUUGUAGCACCAAACUCUGACAGAAUUACUCAAUUCACCAGGACCUGGAUAUUUGCAU
Long non-coding RNA from Hemiscyllium ocellatum (epaulette shark), 338 nucleotides. RefSeq lists it as uncharacterized. NCBI's taxonomy places the organism in Eukaryota, Metazoa, Chordata, Chondrichthyes, Orectolobiformes, Hemiscylliidae. The transcript is spliced from 4 exons. The record is from RefSeq and is a predicted model, not a curated record.